Molecule: ribosomal RNA, 498 nt
Filed under: uncultured bacterium
Lineage: Bacteria
Description: partial 16S ribosomal RNA
Rfam family: Bacterial small subunit ribosomal RNA
Source: RNAcentral
AUUGAACGCUGGCGGCAUGCCUUACACAUGCAAGUCGAACGGUAACAGGUCUUCGGAUGCUGACGAGUGGCGAACGGGUGAGUAAUACAUCGGAACGUGCCUAGUAGUGGGGGAUAACUACUCGAAAGAGUGGCUAAUACCGCAUGAGAUCUACGGAUGAAAGCAGGGGAUCGCAAGACCUUGUGCUACUAGAGCGGCCGAUGGCAGAUUAGGUAGUUGGUGGGAUAAAAGCUUACCAAGCAGACGAUCUGUAGCUGGUCUGAGAGGACGAUCAGCCACACUGGGAAUGAGACACGGCCCAGACUCCUACGGGAGGCAGCAGUGGGGAAGUUUGGACAAUGGGCGAAAGCCUGAUCCAGCAAUGCCGCGUGCAGGAUGAAGGCCUUCGGGUUGUAAACUGCUUUUGUACGGAACGAAAAGCCCCGGGUUAAUACCCUGGGGUCAUGACGGUACCGUAAGAAUAAGCACCGGCUAACUACGUGCCAGCAGCCGCAGUAA